AUGAGCUCCAAGAUGGCAUCGAGGAAGAAGCCGGCGCCCAAGCUGGACACCACCUUCUGCUGCCCCUUCUGCAACCACCCCGGCGGCGUGUCCUGCACCAUCGACCUCAAGCUCUACGUCGCCAACGCCGUCUGCUACGUCUGCCAGGAGGCCUACCACACCACGGCGCACUACCUCACCGAGCCCGUCGACGUCUACCACGACUGGAUCGACGCCUGCGAGAAGGCCAACCAAGAAGUCGAAGCUGUGGACUGCUAG
Molecule: ribosomal RNA, 258 nt
Filed under: Triticum aestivum (bread wheat)
Lineage: Eukaryota; Viridiplantae; Streptophyta; Magnoliopsida; Poales; Poaceae
Description: partial small subunit ribosomal RNA
Source: RNAcentral